UACGUAGGGGGCAAGCGUUGUCCGGAUUCAUUGGGCGUAAAGAGCGUGUAGGCGGCCAGGUAGGUCGGUUGUGAAAACUGGAGGCUCAACCUUCAGACGUCGACCGAAACCAUCUGGCUAGAGUCCGGGAGAGGUAGGUGGAAUUCCUGGUGUAGUGGUGAAAUGCGUAGAGAUCAGGAGGAACACCGGUGGCGAAGGCGGCCUACUGGGCCAGCUCUGACGCUGAGGCGCGAAAGCGUGGGGAGCAAACAGG
This 253-nucleotide ribosomal RNA is filed under the name uncultured bacterium. RNAcentral's name for it is "partial 16S ribosomal RNA". It matches the Rfam family "Bacterial small subunit ribosomal RNA", at positions 524 to 776 of the family's 1533-position model. The record is from RNAcentral.